Hippocampus comes (tiger tail seahorse) is the source of this 362-nucleotide long non-coding RNA. RefSeq lists it as uncharacterized. The transcript has 3 exons. NCBI's taxonomy places the organism in Eukaryota, Metazoa, Chordata, Actinopteri, Syngnathiformes, Syngnathidae. The record is from RefSeq and is a predicted model, not a curated record.
ACAAAAAAAUACAUCAUGAGUGUCACAACAUUCACCUUGGUUUUUUUUUUUUGUUUUUGUUGUUUUUUUUCCAAACCACGUAUAAUCUUUAAAAGUGGAACAAUGGAAUAGGAUAAUGGAGGAGGUAUGGCAGGAAGGCACAGGUGAGCAAUUAUAAAAGAGGUGUGGCCAAUCAAAUUGUUGAUUGGUCCACAGAGGUGGGUGUUCACACUGGAAUUAGGUCGUCGGAGCCGAAAAUGAGGGCGUUGAUGACACUGAGGAGCGUGACCAUUGGUCCAGAGCAUCCAGAGCAAGGUGAUGACCAUCUGUUGAGAACAUGCUGAGGGCUGCAAGUAGCUCAAACACCUGCUUCUUCACCAUCG